This 67-nucleotide transfer RNA is filed under the name human oral metagenome. It matches the Rfam family "tRNA". Rfam says of the family: Transfer RNA (tRNA) molecules are approximately 80 nucleotides in length. Their secondary structure includes four short double-helical elements and three loops (D, anti-codon, and T loops). The record is from RNAcentral.
ACCGUAGCUCAGCCGGUUAGAGCGCAGGACUCAUAAGCCUGAGGUCACUGGUUCGAUCCCAGUCGGU